AUGGAUGGCAAAGACCUCAUCUCACCGUCCGACCUGCCGCCAUUCUAUGGCCAGCAGCAGCAGCAGCAGCAGCACCUCCGCAUGCUCGGCGGCACCGGCGGCGGCGGGGGGCAGCAUAGCCCCUCCUCGCUCGCCGGGAUGCACUCCGUCAUCCGCCCCAUGCCCAACAUGAGCAUGAGCCCCACCGCCAUCCUCCAGUCCAUCGGCGGCGGCGCCUCCUCCCUCGCCGGCAUGCAGUUCAACAUGGACAACACCACGUCCCCUUCCUCCAUGUUGCAGCACGCCGGCAACAUGGGCGGCUCUGUUUCUGGCUCGGGCACGACGAUGCCGGUGGCCAGCCCGCCGCCGGAGCCCGUCAAGCGGAAGCGGGGCAGGCCGCGCAAGUACGGGCCCGACGGCGCCAUGAAGCACCACAUGUCCUCGUCUUCCUCGUCGGCGCAUCAUCAGCAGCAGCAACAUCAGAUGAUGGGCGCGCCUCAGCAGAGGAUGGGGUCGAUGGCCGGGCAGGGCAUGGCGGGCGGGCUCGACGACGCGGCCCAGAAGAAGAAGCGCGGCCGACCGCCAGGCACCGGGAAGAAGCUCUCCUCACCCAGCAGUAAACCCUCCGGCAAUGCGUUCCCUGGUUCAGCUGGAACGAGCUUUACUCCCCACAUCAUCACAGCAUCUCCUUCAGAGGACGUCGCGGGGAAGAUCGCGGCAUUCGCGAGCCAGUCACCGAGGGCGGUGUGCGUGCUCUCAGCGAUGGGGUCCGUCUCCAGGGCCGUCCUGCGCCACCCGGCAGAUCAUCCUCCUUCCUACAAUAACCCUGCCAUUUACGAGGGAUUGUAUGAAAUCCUGAGUUUAUCCGGCUCUUACAAUCUGAACGAGGGCCAGCAAAAUCAAACCGACGGGAUCAGCGUCACGCUCUGCAGCCCGGAGAGGCAUGUCAUUGGAGGUGUCCUGGGUGGAGCAUUGGUGGCUGCCAGUACUGUGCAGGUGGUGCUAGGGACUUUUGUGCAAGGAGGAUCCAAAUCAAAGUCCAAGAAAGCCGCGAAACCACCGGCUUUCGGUCCCGACUCGCUCACCGGCGCUGGGCCAGAUGUGGUGUCGCCCAGCUCAGGACAUAACCAAAACCUAACGUCGCCGCCCUCCGUUGUAUCGACGGGAGGGUGGCCUAGCUCUGGGAUAUUUGACACACGAAGUUCCAACAUUGAUAUCAACUCUUCUAGAGGAUAG
This 1215-nucleotide ribosomal RNA is filed under the name Triticum aestivum (bread wheat). Its description in RNAcentral is "partial small subunit ribosomal RNA". Lineage: Eukaryota; Viridiplantae; Streptophyta; Magnoliopsida; Poales; Poaceae. The record is from RNAcentral.